This 254-nucleotide ribosomal RNA is filed under the name uncultured bacterium. RNAcentral's name for it is "partial 16S ribosomal RNA". It matches the Rfam family "Bacterial small subunit ribosomal RNA", at positions 524 to 776 of the family's 1533-position model. The record is from RNAcentral.
UACGGGGGGAGCAAGCGUUGUUCGGAUUUACUGGGCGUAAAGGGCGCGUAGGCGGUCAGCACAAGUCAGUUGUGAAAUCUCCGGGCUUAACUCGGAACGGUCAACUGAUACUGUGCGACUAGAGUGCAGAAGGGGCAACUGGAAUUCUCGGUGUAGCGGUGAAAUGCGUAGAUAUGCGGAGGAACACCGAUGGCGAAGGCAAUCCCCUGGACCUGUACUGACGCUCAUGCACGAAAGCGUGGGGAGCAAACAGG